CCUCCAGUUGCAUUGCCAAGCAACCACCACAACCAUCCAAGCAAACAAAUGGAGGCGAUGACGAAGACUAGUGCUAGAGGUGCCAAGGGCAAGGUGGCGAUGGUCUACUCUAAGUACGUCAAGCCCCAGAGCAACUCUGCUUUUGUUUUCGAAACAGGAUUACCCCGCUUUUAAGAGAGCAAUAAUGGUCUGGAUGGCACAGGGGUGGGCGCGUAUGUGGCGCAAAAUUACAGGGUCGUCAACAUCAUGAUCCCAAAGACGCUACGAGAAGACCUACGGGAAGCAGGAAGCCCGCUAGUUUUGUCGCCGACGCCGGAAUCACCGAAGGCUGAAGAAGAAGGCUGCCACGACGACGACGAGAGCAGUUGCUGCUACCGCUGCUGCUACGGCUGCUUAUAUGUAGACUGUAGUUUGCUUAUUUCAGUACUAGAUUAAUUAAUUAAGUUCCGGUAAUCUACGUUUCAUCUUGUUCAAAGUUUUAGUAAAAUAUACCUACUUCGUGUCUGCAUUAAGUUUCGGUGAUCUGUGUGGGUUAUGUAAGUUUUGGUAAUCUCUGGAUAUUGGUGAAAUAGAUGUGUAUUUAAUAA
Panicum virgatum (switchgrass) is the source of this 587-nucleotide long non-coding RNA. RefSeq lists it as uncharacterized. The transcript is spliced from 2 exons. The record is from RefSeq and is a predicted model, not a curated record. NCBI's taxonomy places the organism in Eukaryota, Viridiplantae, Streptophyta, Magnoliopsida, Poales, Poaceae.